GCCAACCCUUUGGUUAUUUAAACUCCCAUCUCCUGUACUUGCUUUCCUCAUAACCCUAACUCUAUCCACACUAGAUCUAAAUUCCGCCGUCAUCAACUAAUUGGUACAAAGAUGAGGUUUACUAGGAUCUGUCGAGCAAACCUUGAAUGGCGUCUAAUCCAGCGUCAUUUCAAGGGAAGUUGUUACUAUGACGUGUUCUUGAGCUUUAAACGGGAAGAUACCCGUAUCAUAUAUAUUCUGUCUUUCACCCAGAAUAUUUUCACACAUACAAGGAUGACGAAACGCCACUUCGUUGGUUUUUCCAAAUCCAUUGAAGACUCAAAUUUGUUCACGUUUGAGUCUUUCGAGCUUGUGAAGAUUAUGGAGUGUUCAAGACAGGAUGAUAGGAAAAAAGUUGUCAAAAAUGGGCAUGAAGCUAAAUUCAUCCAAAAAAUUUUGUUGAACGGACUUUACUCGAGUUUCGUUACAUUCUUUUGAAUGAUGUUCGCAUGAUAGGGAAGACAACUUUGGCCAAAUGAAAAAGUAUUCGAGUUAUUGGGAAGACUACUUUGGCUAGUUAUACAAUAUAUAUUAUGUUGAAAAGUAUACCGUACAAACGUUGCAAUGAUAGUUUUUCUUCAAGAAAGCAAGAGACAGACUCAAACCGGUUAAAAGAGAUCUGAAUGACCAUGGAAGACUAAGUCGUCCAUGAGGUCAAGCUCCUCGCUUUAUUGAUUUAACUCCUAUCGAAUGUAACACCAAAACAAUGUUUUGCUGAGUUUUUUUUAUCUGAAAGGAAUAUUAGUGAUGUUUCAUGUAUAGUUGUAUUAUGACUAAUAUUUGUGAAUGGAUGUUUCAAAGUAAUUUUCCUUUGGAAUGAGACCAGUUUAGUUACAAAA
Molecule: long non-coding RNA, 878 nt
Organism: Helianthus annuus (common sunflower)
Lineage: Eukaryota; Viridiplantae; Streptophyta; Magnoliopsida; Asterales; Asteraceae
Exons: 3
Source: RefSeq, a predicted model, not a curated record